Molecule: long non-coding RNA, 350 nt
Filed under: Lathyrus oleraceus (garden pea)
Lineage: Eukaryota; Viridiplantae; Streptophyta; Magnoliopsida; Fabales; Fabaceae
Description: Pisum sativum (pea) long non-coding RNA (PSAT_LNC021083)
Source: RNAcentral
UGGCAACUCUUGCUAUCCGCGACAUUGCGAUAAAAAGCAAAACACACCAAGUCAGUUCACCGUAUGACAGAACUGGCGACUCUGCUGGGGAUACUUUAAAAAGAGAGGUUACCUUAAAAACAAGAUCACUUAUUCCAAAUUGUCUGAUUUAUUUUUAAGGGAUUGCUUGGGUAUUCUUGAGUGAAAGAUCCUACACCCGGAUCUAGUGUGCCUUAGGUAAGUAGCAAUAGAUCAUUGCGACUAUCCGGCGUAUACUGGAAUGGUUAAAAUGAUGGCUACGGUUAAUGUGACACUUUGGAUGUCCUGAUGUUCCUCAUGUUCGCUUGAGGAAAAAUUUGGCUUCCGCGUGG